RNAcentral lists this ribosomal RNA (100 nucleotides) under Faecalibacterium sp. OF04-11AC. Its description in RNAcentral is "partial 16S ribosomal RNA". It matches the Rfam family "Bacterial small subunit ribosomal RNA", at positions 1 to 97 of the family's 1533-position model. The record is from RNAcentral. Lineage: Bacteria; Bacillati; Bacillota; Clostridia; Eubacteriales; Oscillospiraceae.
UUUAUAAAGAGUUUGAUCCUGGCUCAGGACGAACGCUGGCGGCGCGCCUAACACAUGCAAGUCGAACGAGAGAGAGGGAGCUUGCUUCCUUGAUCGAGUG